Molecule: long non-coding RNA, 3022 nt
Filed under: Homo sapiens (human)
Lineage: Eukaryota; Metazoa; Chordata; Mammalia; Primates; Hominidae
Description: HSALNT0356970
Source: RNAcentral
GAGGGGCCUGCUGAUAGGCUGCGAAGGCGAUAGGCGUCUCAGACUUGAAGACGCCUCUCCAGCAGAACUCCCUCAUUGGUCGGCAAGAGAAAACAAAGCUGGGCUCUGAUUGGUGACAGCUCUGUAGCUCCUCCUCAUACCCGCAGUCCCCGCAAGUUCCACCCCUGCCCGCCCGGUUCGCUCGCCCUUGGUUCCCACUCCCAGGUGGCUGCAGACUGGAGUGUGUUUCAUGGACGAGCAACCUCCCUGAGGAGAACCCCGGAUACGCAGGUUCAUUCGCCAGAUGCGAGUUUUCUUAAGCCGCUGCGAUUCUCUGAUUUCAGUAUGAACUUGGUGAAUAACGUAAUCUUUAACUUCCUUUGGAUUCAGACAAGUCUCCUAGGUUUAAAAAUGCUGCAUAAGAUUGAGAGGGAUAUUGUUAUGCACGAAAAAAGACAUAAGGUGUUUUCACCUUUGGCGACACUGUAGGUGACUUUUUCUUAUUACCUUUUUGUGUUCCAUAUUGAACAUGUACUACAUGAUUAGAAAAAAAAAUUCUUAAAUAGAAAAAUGAGUAGGGUGCGGAGAAUGGUAAAGACAAACUUUAAGGAAAUCCAGAGAACUGAUUCUUUCACAAUAGAAGAAAAUACAGUAAACAUGCUUAAUAUCUGAGGGCUACCCCGAAAAAACAUGAACUGGUAUCAGCGCCCUUCAGCUCUCUUAAAGAACUUUACAUAUGUGACCGAGGUGCCCCCAUACUCCUUCCUAUCAUGUAACCAACACAUAAUGUGGACAGCACUACACUGCAAACAGAAUUACAGGAAGACUCUUAUAGGAAGAAUUAGAAUCCAAAGUACACAAUCAAUAAAGCUUUAGAAAAAGGGGUAGUAAAAAGCAGAAGACAAAAAAAAAUCAGGUAAUAUAAAUUGGAAAGCUCAGCUGAUGGAGGGAAUCAUCAGAAAAAAAAUAAUGUGACAACACUUCAAGAUGUGAUAGAGACUUUGAAUGGAAAGCUGAAGGGAGAGGAAGGGGAUUGAGAUAAGGAUCAAUGACCUGCAGUUAAUAUGAGCUCUCAGAACACAUCCCCCAGAACUGGUGUCAGCCUAGAAGGCAAGAAGCAUUUCUCACCUAGGGACCACUCUCACUUAACUCUCUCUAGCUGCCUUAACAUUCUGUUUGUUCUUGUCAUUCUCGCAAAGUUCUAAAACAGGCUAUUUGAAAUUAAGCACUUCCCCCCAGCAACUCCGUGAAUUACGUAAUAGUGAAAAAUGGAGAUAGACAAAAAGCAAACCUGAGGAAGGAAAGGAAUGUUAAGGUAAACAUAAACUUAAAGAGAAGUAAGGGCAAAACACCUGAUAGAAAGAAGACAAGAAAUUCUUUUUUCUCUCUUACUUCCUGAGAAUAAAGUAAAGGUCUUUGGAGGACAGAAUAACCUUAUUGCCUAACAAAAAGAGUUUUUACCAAACCUUUCUAAUAAUAACUGUAAUUCUAAACUGUAGUCUAAAAAUACGUGUCCUAAAGUAAGUACUUUGAGCAAAUAGUUUUGAGAUCUAAUAUUUUUACAUUGUGUAAGGAAAAGAAGAGGAACUUAGCCUAGUAUGAACAAACUGUAGGGAAUACCCUUCAAAAGUUUCUUCUACAAUAACACCUGAAAUUCCAUCACUAACAUUCUUUCACUGGGAUUAAAUAAUGUAUGUCUAAGAUUAUUCUUUUAUUCAUUUACUCAUCAAACGUAAUCAAUAUUAAUCAUCAAAUACUAGAUACUGCAAUGAACGAGGCUUUCUACUAAGCACUCAGAGUAUAGCCUUGAACAAGACAGACUUGCAGCUGUUUUUAUCAGAAGAUGGACAAUGAUCCAAUAAAAAGAUAAACUUCCAGACCGGGAUCAGGGCAAAGAAGAAAACAGUGACCAGAGGGAUGGGAGACACACUUAAUUUUGGGAAAGGAGAAAAAUGCUUUAAGGAGAAAUGAUCUAAGAGAAAUGCUCUAAGAUUUGAGGCACCACCUAAAUAAGAAAACACCAACUUAGCAAAACUCCAGGGCAGAUAAAAUAGCAAGAACAAAGGACUUGAAGUAGGAAGAAAAGUGAUGUAUAGCAGGAACAGAGAGAAAGCCAGCAUGGGUAUCAUGGUGCAUAAGGAGAGUGCUACUAGACAGGUUGGAGAAGGAGAGUCACCAGUAAAAUGAGCAUUCAUUCAUUAAGCCAAUCAUCAGGAAUGGAUCUAGGAAGAACCUACUGUUUACUAGAAAUAGGUUAGAUCUGUGGAUAUAACAAUGAAUAAGACAAGACUGGUGGAUCUAUAGAGAAACUAUUACUGCACAGGUGAUGGGGAAAUCAAGAGUACUAUGGGGCCAAGGAGACUGUCCUGCAGCAAAUGAGGAAUAAGCUGAAACAUCAGUAGGAGCCAUCCCAGAGAAAAGGGACAGGGUUCUAGAUCCAGAGAACAACAGAAGAGCAUUCAGCGCCUGCAAGGGAGCAGGGGAUCUAAUGCAAAGCCAUUGCAUAACCAGUCAACUUUCCCCACAUCACAAGAUUGCCUAGCCUGGAUGGCCCCAGAAUGUUGAAACAAAUGUCUAAUUAGUAACGACAUUCUGAAUGCUUGGGAGCUGAGCAAAAUAUGAGGAGAAGCAACCUGAUUUUUGUUUCAUAUUAUCAUCUCCUUUAUUCCAGCAACAAAAGACACUGAAAAUAGUAAAUGCCCACUUUCAACCAUGACAGCCCUUUUAGGAUAGUAACGGUGAGCAGUAUUAAUCCUAUUUGACCAGAACUAGGGCAGAAUUGAAGCCCCUGGAGUAGAGAUCUGUUCUAUUAGCCCCAGCCUUUCCGCCUGCUUCUUGGGAUGGCUAUCUUUACUUUAUCAGUUGAGCCUCCAGCAUUAGCAGAUACCUAUAAGGGAAGAGAUCCAGCCCUCACUAUGGAGGGCCAGAAAGAGAAAGCACCAGACAUUAGGAAAUGUCAAAGUAUCUCAGUACAUCCAGCUGAUUAGUGACAGAUAAGUCAAAAUUUGCAGCAACUAAAUAAAUCAAAAAGUAGAUUUUAAAA